RNAcentral lists this long non-coding RNA (297 nucleotides) under Mytilus galloprovincialis (Mediterranean mussel). The record is from RNAcentral. Lineage: Eukaryota; Metazoa; Mollusca; Bivalvia; Mytilida; Mytilidae.
GUCGCGGUAAAACUGGAGUUGUCUCCAAUAUAAAAAUUACUUCUGAUGAAGCGUGUUCAUUUUAGUCUAGUUUUGGCAACUAGUGUUCAUUUACAAAAAUACUUAAUAUGUUUGAAAUUGAUAAAUACUUUCAAAAUAUUAACUUGAAAAAGAUAUAUACAUAUUUAAAAUUGACCAACUGGAUUGGCGUCUUUCUCUAACUAUUGAAAAUGAUAAUUUUUCUAUAAAAUGAUACAUUGGCUUAACUCAUACGCCUUAACAUGAGUUUUAAGAACUUUUAAAUAUACAUUCUAAAAA